RNAcentral lists this ribosomal RNA (474 nucleotides) under uncultured bacterium. RNAcentral describes it as "SSU rRNA". It matches the Rfam family "Bacterial small subunit ribosomal RNA", at positions 26 to 518 of the family's 1533-position model. The record is from RNAcentral.
AGGACGAACGCUGGCGGCGUGCUUAACACAUGCAAGUCGAGCGGAAAGGCCCUUCGGGGUACUCGAGCGGCGAACGGGUGAGUAACACGUGAGUAACCUGCCCCAAACUUUGGGAUAACCCUCGGAAACGGGGGCUAAUACCGAAUAUUACUUCUGGUCGCAUGGCUGGUGGUGGAAAGUUUUUCGGUUUGGGAUGGACUCGCGGCCUAUCAGCUAGUUGGUGAGGUAACGGCCCACCAAGGCGACGACGGGUAGCCGGCCUGAGAGGGCGACCGGCCACACUGGGACUGAGACACGGCCCAGACUCCUACGGGAGGCAGCAGUGGGGAAUAUUGCGCAAUGGGCGAAAGCCUGACGCAGCGACGCCGCGUGGGGGAUGAAUGCCUUCGGGUUGUAAACCCCUUUCAGCAGGGACGAAGCGAAAGUGACGGUACCUGCAGAAGAAGCGCCGGCUAACUACGUGCCAGCAGCCGC